Molecule: ribosomal RNA, 468 nt
Filed under: uncultured bacterium
Lineage: Bacteria
Description: SSU rRNA
Rfam family: Bacterial small subunit ribosomal RNA
Source: RNAcentral
AGGACGAACGCUGGCGGCGUGCUUAACACAUGCAAGUCGAGCGGAAAGGCCCUUCGGGGUACUCGAGCGGCGAACGGGUGAGUAACACGUGAGUAAUCUGCCCCUAGCUCUGGGAUAGCUCCGGGAAACCGGGAUUAAUACCGGAUACGACCACUUUAGACAUCUGUUGUGGUGGAAAGAAUUUUGGCUAGGGAUGAGCUCGCGGCCUAUCAGCUUGUUGGUGGGGUAAUGGCCUACCAAGGCGACGACGGGUAGCCGGCCUGAGAGGGCGACCGGCCACACUGGGACUGAGACACGGCCCAGACUCCUACGGGAGGCAGCAGUGGGGAAUAUUGCGCAAUGGGCGAAAGCCUGACGCAGCGACGCCGCGUGGAUGAUGAAGGCCUUAGGGUUGUAAAGUCCUUUUAACGGGGAAGAUAAUGACGGUACCCGUAGAAUAAGCCCGGCUAACUUCGCGCCAGCAGCCGC